This 374-nucleotide unclassified non-coding RNA is filed under the name plant metagenome. RNAcentral describes it as "partial contains 5.8S ribosomal RNA, internal transcribed spacer 2, and large subunit ribosomal RNA". The stretch from base 1 to 106 matches the Rfam family "5.8S ribosomal RNA", at positions 51 to 154 of the family's 154-position model. The record is from RNAcentral.
AAAUGCGAUACUUGGUGUGAAUUGCAGAAUCCCGUGAACCAUCGAGUUUUUGAACGCAAGUUGCGCCCGAAGCCAUCCGGCUGAGGGCACGCCUGCCUGGGCGUCACGCAUCGCGUCGCUCCCCACCAUACCUCCCCAACGGGUUGGCAUGGUGUUGGGGGCGGAUAAUGGCCUCCCGUGCUUGUGUUUCGGUUGGCCUAAAUAAGAGUUCCCUUCGGCGGACACACGACUAGUGGUGGUUGAAUAGACCCUCGUCUUUUGUUGCGUGUCGUGAGCUGUGAGGGUAGCCCUCAUCAAAGACCCCAUUGUAUCGUCUUCGGAUGAUGCUUCGACCGCGACCCCAGGUCAGGCGGGACUACCCGCUGAGGUUAAGC